Saccostrea echinata is the source of this 395-nucleotide long non-coding RNA. RefSeq lists it as uncharacterized. The transcript has 2 exons. The record is from RefSeq and is a predicted model, not a curated record. NCBI's taxonomy places the organism in Eukaryota, Metazoa, Mollusca, Bivalvia, Ostreida, Ostreidae.
UCUCAUACAUAUAAAGGAAAGACGGUGUCUGCAUUAUACAAGAAGAACCUUAUCUGGAACCUCUGUUGUAUCAUUAUUUUCCUGAAUCACCCUGAUUUUUAAGAUGAAGACGUGUGUCUUGCUUCUUCUGUUGUGCUUUCUUUCGCUGGGAGUUGUCGAUACUGUUGUCGGAUGUUCGAGGAAUUGCCAUUAUACGCAAUGCACUAGAAGUUGUAGAAGUAGAGGGCGCCGUGUUGGGUUUUGUAUUCCUUGUAUCUUUAGAAAAGGGCGGAGAAGGUGCAUUUGCCUUUAGAAAUAAAUUCAUUGGCGUAUGACAUAUGAAGAUUAUUCACUUCAAGAAACACCAAAAUACUUUGUGUUUAUAAAUUGAAAUUAAUAAAUAUAGGAAGGAUAAA